CUUUGUCUCCAAGCUGUGCUGGAGGGAAGACUCUGCCCUGGAGUUUUCGGCUCCGUGCGCUGCAACUCAUAGGAGCUCUGGAUGACCGGGGUGGGCAAGCAGCCCUGGCUGGCGCUGCAUGUACACUUAAUAAAGUAUUGCGUGCAAGAGUGAACGGAGCUUGGACCCCCGUGGGCACAGGGCGCGUCCUCCUUUUUGCACCACGGGAUCAGCAGCAGCGUCCAGGCCUUCUUUCUUCCGUGCGGGCGUGCGGGAUGGGAGCGCAUGCUUUCAGCUACCGUAGAUCAAGAUCACAGAAUGUUCCAGGCAGAGAAUUUGUCUCUUGUGCUCCCUGGAGUCGUGGAGCCCACUUCCUGCAGGUCUCAACUUCAGUGUAGCCCUCUCAGGGCCGCGGAUUUACCUCAGUGGUUUCACCGCCUGCAGCGCAAGCACAAGGACCCAAGUUCGAUCCCCA
This 454-nucleotide long non-coding RNA is filed under the name Heterocephalus glaber (naked mole-rat). Its description in RNAcentral is "lncRNA (ENSHGLG00100050130.1)". Lineage: Eukaryota; Metazoa; Chordata; Mammalia; Rodentia; Bathyergidae. The record is from RNAcentral.